GGGGUUUACUUUGAAACACACAAUGACAGCAGUGCUUAUGCCUGAUGGGAAACAAGGACAAUCUGCAAGAAAGGCUGCUUACCUCUCUAUUGCCCUUCCACAAGAAAGACUAUGGACCAGUGGAGGCUGCUGAAGGGGAGGACAGUUCAUAAUAAGGGCUGGUAUACCGCUCCAGCCAUUACCACGAGCACUUUCUCCCCAAUUAAGGUGCCACCAACCUCCUGUGGUAUGUACAGUGGUGAGAGGGGUCUAGGUGAAAGUGUAAGAACUACAUACUUAACUGGGAAAUGGACAAAGGAUUAACUUGAAGAUGGAUUGUACUCCGAGUAGAUGAUCAAGCGAAUGACUGGACUGUUGCUUCAUAUUCCAUCUUGGAUACUAUCUAUAUUCCAGAGCAGACUGGUGAGAGGAGCUAUAGGAGGAUGGGCUCAUUGCAACGGUUGGAAUGAAUGGAACGGUGUUAAACAUGUAGAAACCACAAUUCCACGCCAAGAAUCAGGAUUGCCAUCACCACAGCAGCCCAACUACCACGGCCUGACUAUGUCUACAUGCGACUCCAAGCCAAACUCUUAAGUCCACCCCCUGGAAUCUUCAUCUGCAGCCAUCUGCUUUAUCCGAUCCAUUCUCAUUCCUCUCCUGGAUCCUCACACAUCCAUUCAAUUUCCUCAAUAGAUAUUCUAAACCCAUUUCAAUGUCAGGUCCUUAAACUCAUGAAGGUUAGGUUGAAAGCUAGAUGACUCGAGAUUAACAUGACCAAAGACUGAAACCGAAACCAAUUUUCCUGGAUGUGUGGAUAAAUACAAAUGUUAUUAUUGAGGCUCUCACUAACUUAUUGCACAAUGUGUAUAACGUUUGAGUAUGACUAUGGGGGUUAGAUAAAUGUUUGACAUCAUAAAGAUAAUCUUUUGUCAACCACUGCCAUGUUGAUAUGAGCCUUGCUGUAGGAAUACCAGUGUACAACUGUUGCAUAUGCACCUUACGGUCUCCAGUUCCCCCUCACGCUGCAGUCACAGGCCGGCUUCAGUGACUCACACUGUUAUCUAUAUUGAAACUGUUUUUGACUCCUUAUCUGACAACCAUCAUGAAUUGUUCUCGCUCAGAUCACUGUUAGUCACCACAAGCCAGCCUCCACUCAGUGCCCUGCCCUGAACUUAGUCAAGGUAUGGAACUUCUUUCCAUCUCACAUUGCUCAAAUAAACAGCAAAUCUGGUUUCGAAA
Long non-coding RNA from Oncorhynchus tshawytscha (Chinook salmon), 1218 nucleotides. The record is from Ensembl. NCBI's taxonomy places the organism in Eukaryota, Metazoa, Chordata, Actinopteri, Salmoniformes, Salmonidae.